RNAcentral lists this ribosomal RNA (515 nucleotides) under uncultured bacterium. RNAcentral describes it as "bacterial SSU rRNA". It matches the Rfam family "Bacterial small subunit ribosomal RNA", at positions 15 to 518 of the family's 1533-position model. The record is from RNAcentral.
GAUUAUGGCUCAGGAUGAACGCUAGCUACAGGCUUAACACAUGCAAGUCGAGGGGCAGCAUGAUCAAGCUUGCUUGAUGAUGGCGACCGGCGCACGGGUGCGUAACGCGUAUCCAACCUGCCGUGUACUCGGGGGAUAGCCCUCUGAAAGGAGGAUUAAUACCCGAUGUGGUUGCUUGAGGACAUCCUCUUGCAAUUAAAGAUUUAUCGGUACACCGAUGGGGGUGCGUACGAUUAGGUAGUCGGCGGGGUAACGGCCCACCGAGCCAACGAUCGUUAGGGGUUCUGAGAGGAAGGUCCCCCCACAUAGGAACUGAGACACGGUCCUAACUCCUACGGGAGGCAGCAGUGAGGAAUAUUGGUCAAUGGGCGAGAGCCUGAACCAGCCAAGUAGCGUAGAAGGAUGACUGCCCUAUGGGUUGUAAACUUCUUUUAUAGGGGAAUAAAGUGUGGCACGUGUGCCGUUUUGUAUGUACCCUAUGAAUAAGCAUCGGCUAAUUCCGUGCCAGCCGCGGC